GGGACACGUGGUAUCCUGUCUGAAUAUGGGGGGACCAUCCUCCAAGGCUAAAUACUCCUGACUGACCGAUAGUGAACCAGUACCGUGAGGGAAAGGCGAAAAGAACCCCGGCGAGGGGAGUGAAAAAGAACCUGAAACCGUGUACGUACAAGCAGUGGGAGCACCUUCGGGUGUGACUGCGUACCUUUUGUAUAAUGGGUCAGCGACUUAUAUUCUGUAGCAAGGUUAACCGUAUAGGGGAGCCGCAGGGAAACCGAGUCUUAACUGGGCGUUAAGUUGCAGGGUAUAGACCCGAAACCCGGUGAUCUAGCCAUGGGCAGGUUGAAGGUUGGGUAACACUAACUGGAGGACCGAACCGACUAAUGUUGAAAAAUUAGCGGAUGACUUGUGGCUGGGGGUGAAAGGCCAAUCAAACCGGGAGAUAGCUGGUUCUCCCCGAAAGCUAUUUAGGUAGCGCCUCGUGAAUUCAUCUUCGGGGGUAGAGCACUGUUUCGGCUAGGGGGUCAUCCCGACUUACCAACCCGAUGCAAACUACGAAUACCGAAGAAUGUUAUCACGGGAGACACACGGCGGGUGCUAACGUCCGUCGUGAAGAGGGAAACAACCCAGACCGCCAGCUAAGGUCCCAAAGUCAUGGUUAAGUGGGAAACGAUGUGGGAAGGCACAGACAGCCAGGAUGUUGGCUUAGAAGCAGCCAUCAUUUAAAGAAAGCGUAAUAGCUCACUGGUCGAGUCGGCCUGCGCGGAAGAUGUAACGGGGCUAAACCAUGCACCGAAGCUGCGGCAGCGACACUAUGUGUUGUUGGGUAGGGGAGCGUUCUGUAAGCCUGCGAAGGUGUGCUGUGAGGCAUGCUGGAGGUAUCAGAAGUGCGAAUGCUGACAUAAGUAACGAUAAAGCGGGUGAAAAGCCCGCUCGCCGGAAGACCAAGGGUUCCUGUCCAACGUUAAUCGGGGCAGGGUGAGUCGACCCCUAAGGCGAGGCCGAAAGGCGUAGUCGAUGGGAAACAGGUUAAUAUUCCUGUACUUGGUGUUACUGCGAAGGGGGGACGGAGAAGGCUAUGUUAGCCGGGCGACGGUUGUCCCGGUUUAAGCAUGUAGGCUGGUUGUCCAGGCAAAUCCGGAUAAUCAAGGCUGAGGUGUGAUGACGAGGCACUACGGUGCUGAAGUAACAAAUGCCCUGCUUCCAGGAAAAGCCUCUAAGCAUCAGGUAACAUUAAAUCGUACCCCAAACCGACACAGGUGGUCAGGUAGAGAAUACCAAGGCGCUUGAGAGAACUCGGGUGAAGGAACUAGGCAAAAUGGUGCCGUAACUUCGGGAGAAGGCACGCUGGUGUGUAGGUGAAGUCCCUGCGGAUGGAGCUGAGACCAGUCGAAGAUACCAGCUGGCUGCAACUGUUUAUUAAAAACACAGCACUGUGCAAACACGAAAGUGGACGUAUACGGUGUGACGCCUGCCCGGUGCCGGAAGGUUAAUUGAUGGGGUUAUCCGUAAGGAGAAGCUCUUGAUCGAAGCCCCGGUAAACGGCGGCCGUAACUAUAACGGUCCUAAGGUAGCGAAAUUCCUUGUCGGGUAAGUUCCGACCUGCACGAAUGGCGUAAUGAUGGCCAGGCUGUCUCCACCCGAGACUCAGUGAAAUUGAACUCGCUGUGAAGAUGCAGUGUACCCGCGGCAAGACGGAAAGACCCCGUGAACCUUUACUAUAGCUUGACACUGAACAUUGAGCCUUGAUGUGUAGGAUAGGUGGGAGGCUUUGAAGCGUGGACGCCAGUCUGCGUGGAGCCAACCUUGAAAUACCACCCUUUAAUGUUUGAUGUUCUAACGUUGGCCCCUGACCGGGGUUGCGGACAGUGUCUGGUGGGUAGUUUGACUGGGGCGGUCUCCUCCCAAAGCGUAACGGAGGAGCACGAAGGUUAGCUAAUCCUGGUCGGACAUCAGGAGGUUAGUGCAAUGGCAUAAGCUAGCUUGACUGCGAGCGUGACGGCGCGAGCAGGUGCGAAAGCAGGUCAUAGUGAUCCGGUGGUUCUGAAUGGAAGGGCCAUCGCUCAACGGAUAAAAGGUACUCCGGGGAUAACAGGCUGAUACCGCCCAAGAGUUCAUAUCGACGGCGGUGUUUGGCACCUCGAUGUCGGCUCAUCACAUCCUGGGGCUGAAGUAGGUCCCAAGGGUAUGGCUGUUCGCCAUUUAAAGUGGUACGCGAGCUGGGUUUAGAACGUCGUGAGACAGUUCGGUCCCUAUCUGCCGUGGGCGCUGGAGAAUUGAGGGGGGCUGCUCCUAGUACGAGAGGACCGGAGUGGACGCAUCACUGGUGUUCGGGUUGUCAUGCCAAUGGCACUGCCCGGUAGCUAAAUGCGGAAGAGAUAAGUGCUGAAAGCAUCUAAGCACGAAACUUGCCCCGAGAUGAGUUCUCCCUGAGACUU
RNAcentral lists this ribosomal RNA (2417 nucleotides) under Klebsiella pneumoniae. RNAcentral's name for it is "partial 23S ribosomal RNA". It matches the Rfam family "Bacterial large subunit ribosomal RNA", at positions 419 to 2823 of the family's 2925-position model. Lineage: Bacteria; Pseudomonadati; Pseudomonadota; Gammaproteobacteria; Enterobacterales; Enterobacteriaceae. The record is from RNAcentral. RNAcentral also lists the same sequence under 1 other name.